GAUCCAUCAAGGACCUGAACAGAAUAUUACUUCUGAGCUACCAUAUUGCUUCAAGACAAACAUAUAUGAUGUCCCUGGAAAGAGUGGAAAAUCUCCUUAACUGAUGGGGACAGACAUGAGGCCCUCGGCACCUGCUGAGUUCUCUCCAAUAAGAAAUGCUUCCCUGGGGUCCUUGGGGACAUCACAUAUGUGACCCCCUCCCAUGGGUCCCAUGGUAUUCUCAGGCUUCUCUGGAUAAGAAUGUACUCUCUCCUGGAGGCCCCUGCACACAUGACUUUGGUGGGAAGACCUGUCCAAUUCCCCUGACACAUCCAGAUCCACCUAAGAGUAGUGAUGGCUGGAGUUCCAGCUCAGCAGCAACUUGGAUCUCGUACAACCAUUCCCUGUUGGGUCUGUGAUGCCACUUUGUCAACUGAUUUGAACCAAUGGACAUAAGAAGUCCAGCAUGGAGCAAGAUGAGCUCUUGUCUGCAUAAGGCUAUGGACUGGUAUGGAUAAGGGGAUGCUGCAGUAGUUGGAAAGUCAUUCUUCACCUCUGCCACUUUUUUUUUUAAGAUUUUAUUUAUUUAUUCUUGAGAGACAGAGAGAGAGAGAGAGACAGAGACAUAGGCAGAGGGAGAAGCAGGGUCCAUGCAGGGAGCCUGAUGUGGGACUCGAUCCCGGGACUCCAGGAACAUGCCCUGGGCCAAAGGCAGGCGCUAAAUUGCCAGGUGCCCCUGCCAGACAUUUUCACUGGAGUCAGACUUCAGCAAGUCAUAGAGUCCAAUGGGGAAUUAAGAGUUCUAGACCAAAAGAGCAGACAAACUCUUUCUCAAGAGCAUAGGCUAUGAAGGAAAGGACAAAGAUGAGAUGGUAGGUAGCUAAAGACAACCAUGAAGUUGAACUUUGGGGCCUUUUUUUGUUGAGGUGGGACAAAUUUGGAUGGAAGCCAAAUAUCAUAAUUUAUUUCUUGUCUUCAUGUUAUACUCCUUUCUGUUUUUGCGGUCCAAUUGGUUCUUUCAUUAUUUAUUGAAUCUACACAAAACAUACAAUGAUACUCUGUAACUUGUACAGAUCCAACCAUGACAGCCCUGAUCACUUUGGCCUCUUCAGUGUUUUGUCCUAUUCUGUCCUGGGAAGGGGAGGGGCUGAGGCACCAUCAAGAUAAGGUGGUUGGACUCAUGGUGGUAUUUGGGGCAUGGUCCCUCACCACACAAACCCUCUGAGGAACAGGAUCUUCAGCCCUCAGGCAUGGUCAAGAAGAGAGCAGUGGAGGGCAGGGUUCCAGAGUGCUUCUCGUCACCUUGCUGUCACUAAGGAGAUGGGUGACUCAUGGCCUGGUUAGGGGUCACAGAGCAGAGUCUUCACUGGCUGUCAAGACAAGCUCCUUGUGAACUUGGCCACAGUAACUUCUUGCAAGAUACAUCCACGAAAACAAAAGAAACAAAAGCAAAAAUGAACUAUUGGGACUUCAUCAAGAUAAGAAGCUUUUGCACAGCAAAGGAUACAGUCAACAAAACUCAAAGACAACCUACAGAA
Molecule: long non-coding RNA, 1517 nt
Organism: Nyctereutes procyonoides (raccoon dog)
Lineage: Eukaryota; Metazoa; Chordata; Mammalia; Carnivora; Canidae
Exons: 3
Source: RefSeq, a predicted model, not a curated record